Molecule: unclassified non-coding RNA, 293 nt
Filed under: Hevea brasiliensis (rubber tree)
Lineage: Eukaryota; Viridiplantae; Streptophyta; Magnoliopsida; Malpighiales; Euphorbiaceae
Source: RNAcentral
GCGCUGGCGAAUAAUUUUGAAAGCUUCUUUUGUUGCAUAAGGUAGCCCUGUCUCUGGAUCACGAUACUUGGCAGGCAAACCUGUUACAGCACACACGGCCUUCUCUGGAUAUGGAACAGAUGCAGUUGAAAUCUCUGACUGAAAUGAUACUCCUCUGAAUUCUAGAUAUGACAAACCAUCUUUAGAGAAAUAUCGUAUCUGUGGGCCGCUGUAGACAGCUUUAUGCACAAUUGCUCUUUUCUUAACUUCUUCUUCCCUUGCCAAAACACGCUCUAAAUUCCUCAAAUUCAUGA